UGGGGAAUAUUGCACAAUGGGCGAAAGCCUGAUGCAGCGACGCCGCGUGAGGGAUGACGGCCUUCGGGUUGUAAACCUCUUUCAGCAGGGACGAAGCGCAAGUGACGGUACCUGCAGAAGAAGCACCGGCUAACUACGUGCCAGCAGCCGCGGUAAUACGUAGGGUGCAAGCGUUGUCCGGAAUUACUGGGCGUAAAGAGUUCGUAGGCGGUUUGUCGCGUCGUUUGUGAAAACCAGCAGCACAACUGCUGGCUUGCAGGCGAUACGGGCAGACUUGAGUACUGCAGGGGAUACUGGAAUUCCUGGUGUAGCGGUGAAAUGCGCAGAUAUCAGGAGGAACACCGGUGGCGAAGGCGGGUCUCUGGGCAGUAACUGACGCUGAGGAACGAAAGCGUGGGUAGCGAACAGG
This 409-nucleotide ribosomal RNA is filed under the name bacterium. Its description in RNAcentral is "partial 16S ribosomal RNA". It matches the Rfam family "Bacterial small subunit ribosomal RNA", at positions 355 to 776 of the family's 1533-position model. The record is from RNAcentral.